This is an RNA transcript of Humulus lupulus (European hop), 2206 nucleotides long. It is a transcript of the gene named F-box protein CPR1-like, with no coding region annotated. The transcript has 3 exons. The record is from RefSeq and is a predicted model, not a curated record. Lineage: Eukaryota; Viridiplantae; Streptophyta; Magnoliopsida; Rosales; Cannabaceae.
AAAAGAAAUGUGAUUGUAAAAUAAAAUCUCACCCUCUGUCUCUGAUCCUCAAUUUCAGCUCCCAAUGGAGGAAAAACCAGAAAACGAAGAAGAAAAAGGAGCGAUUCACAAUAUCCCUUGGGCUUUUCUUGGGGACAUUCUUUCAAGACUCGAUGCCAAAUCUCUUAAACGGUGCGAGUGCGUCUCUAAAUCUUGGCUCUCCCUAAUACGGAACUGGGAUUUCAUCCAUCUCCACCUCAAGCGUCAACUACCUUGUGUAGUUUUUCUUCAGAAAAAGGUUAGAAGGUUCAAUUACACAUUGUCGACUUGUAAUUGGGAAAAUUUUGCUGAGAUUUCUUCGCAAAAAUUUCCCAAAUUUAAGAGGCGUCGCCCACCUCUGUUAUUGUUUAUGGGCAGUGAUAAUGGUAUAUUAGGCCUUUACGACUUGAGGAAUAAAAAGGUUUAUUUAUGGAACCCCACCAUUAAGGUGUCUAAAACGCUGUCAUUUUCUCCUCAUUCGGAGCUUAAUCAUUCUGUACUUGGGCUCGGCUAUGACCCCUUCACCACUGAUUUCAAAGUGGUAAUGGUCUCAUGUCCAGUCGAGAAAGGUGUUAUUGGCACUCAUAAUUUGUUUAAAGCGGGUAACCAAGUUGGGAUUUAUAGUUUGAGAAGCAAUUCAUGGAAAACAAUGGCAAUGCCUGACAUAUUUUCAGAUUUUGAACCAUAUACUUCUGACAUAAUUAUUUAUACUUCUCUGAGUUGCUCCAUUGUUGUUAAUGAGGCCAUUCAUUGGAAGAUUUGCUAUAGAAAUUCACUUUAUCAUGACCAGUUAUCUUUAGGGAUAGUUGCUUUUGGUCUACGUAUGGAGAAUUUUAAGCUUAUAAAGUCACCUCAAAUUGUAGAAGGAUCUCAUGUUAAAAAGCUAGCUAACUUUUCUGGGUGUCUUUCUUUUUUCACUUUCGAUGAGGUCCAAGUAGUUGAGGUCUGGGUGAUGAAGAAAUAUGGUGACUCGGAAUCUUGGUUCAAAUACUUGUCUGUCAAUUUACUUAGUCUUCUUCCGAAUUGGGUUGGCCGACAUCCUAUCUGCACUCCAGUAAGUUUUUUGAGCAACGGUAUUCUUGUAAUUUCUUGCAUUGAAACUGGAUAUUGGUGUUGGUAUGAUACUAAGAGUAAGAGGCUUGAAAAUAUGUGUCGAAGGUUUGGUGUGUCAGACUUCACUACAUAUGUUGAGAGUAUUUUUUUAAGUGAAAAGGGUGAGAAUUUUGUGGCCUGUGAUUGAUGGAUCAUUGCUUCUCUCCUUUUUGGGUGAUGUUUCAACAGUAUAACAGUGCUACAACUGGCUUCUCAUGAGCUGAAUCUAUGCUUCCUUGACUGAAGGCAUGCUUACUCAGAUUGCGGAAUACUCUAUUGCCAAGGACAUUUGGGAUGCCCUUUCUCAGAUCUAUUCUGCUAGCACCAUGGCUCGUAUCUUUGAGCUACGCACUUCUCUUCAGACUAUUUGGAAAGCGGGCCUGCUAUGUGAGAAACUGUGGUAUUCAUCAGAAAUUUGUUCCUCAAAGGGGGGCAAUAUUGGAGUGGACAGCGGGGUACUUUUCUGAUUUUUGGGAAAUGAAUAACGGUGUUAGAAGUCGUGGACCUCGCCCACCUCAGAAAUGGAAGCCACCUGAUGUGAAUGAGCUUUUGGUUAAUGUUGAUGCUGCGAUGGAUGUAUCUAAUGGCUGCUGUAGUACUGGGACUGUGGUGAGAAAUCAUCUUGGCAAUGUAGUAGCAUCUCAAGGUACAUUGGUUGAAAGACCCUUCUCCCCUCUUCUUGCUGAAUUGAUAGCCAUUAAACAUGGAAUUGGACUGGUAAAAUCUCUAGCUCUAGAGAGGUGUAUGGUGGAAUCAUAUUGUAGUAUGGCUGUGCAAUGCUAAAUAGACCAUACGAGGAAAGUGAGACAUUUGAUUUGAUGGUUGCUGAUAUCUGCAGGGAGGCAUCUGAAGUUGGCCUCAAGGGUAUAAGAUUCAGUCCUAGAACUACUAGUAGAGUUGUAAAACUUCUGGCUUUUAGAAUGGAGGAGUUCCUCCAAUGGCUGUCUCAGUUUUGCUGGAGGAUAUGCUUUUCCUGUUUAAGUUUGGUUGAUAUCUGUAUUCUCUUUUAAAAAAAAAAAUAAAAAAUUUAAAGUGACACAUAACAACAUUUUUUCAAAAGUCCAAAGUCAAUUUGCAUUUCUCAGUCGUGUCGGCC